AGUUUUUUACCAGAUAAGCUUUUUAAAAAAUUAUGUUCAACAAUUAUCUUUUUAUUGUAGUUAAGUUUUUCAAAUUCUUGCUGUUUUCAAUAUCUCCUGGUUUCAUCAUCCCUACUGAGAAAUUACGUAUACAAUCUUAUAAUUAAUUGUUUGCUUUGGUCUUCUUUUAUUUUCCUGCUUUAUGAUAAAAUUUUCAUUAGCCUAAAUGUGUUAUUAAUUUUUCUUGUUUCUUAAAUAUUUGUUCAAUAUUAUAUUCACAACUUUAAGUUCAAAGGAUCAGUUUUCUGAACAGAUCUUCAUACACUAUAAAUUCCUUGUUGUAUGACCAUCUCUAAUAAUUUUAUUUUUAAUUUUUAGGUAAUGCCUGAUUAUAAUUUAAAUAAGGACGUUGACAAAAAUUAAUGAACCAUUUGCACAAAAAAUAUUUGAAUCAACAUUUAUUCACUCCUGGAAGAUAUUAAAUAUUUCAACAGAAUAUUCCAAUGGAUGGAACUUUUUCCAGCAUCUGGAUUAUUUUCCAGGUUAGACACAUGUUUGUCCACAGACUUGUCUUCUCUGAAUGAAAUCCAAAAGUUGUUUUUACUCCUAGAACCCUCAAAGCCUCUCUGUUUUUUGUCUAUCUAUUUUGCUCACUGUUGUUGAAUCUAUAUUCUUCAAAUGUGCCUUUACCAAGUCUCCAAAAUCACUGUGAGUAUAUGAUUCUCUGGGUAUGAGGUUGUGUAGUCAUGUCAAAUUAAAAUUUAAUAUUCCACAUACAGUCUGCACAGACAAAUAUAAGAAAUUUUGUAAUAACAUUUGUCUUGGUUAGUGUUGAUAGCUGAAUGCGAUUUCUUAUUCUACUGUGGAUCAAUAGAUCAAGAUUCCUUCAGAGAGGAAAGGCAAGUACCCAAAGGUUUUCUUCUAAUGACUGAAACACGUGGUCAGAAGACACACUAUUAACACUCGUCCUAAUAAUUUUUCAGCUAAAGAGUUGGGAAUGUAAGGAAAGGAAAUGGCUAGACUAUUCAAGAUUCUACUGGCAGAUUAUUUGUGAUGGUUGGUCUCUUUUUGCCUCCUAGAACAUUCAAGAGUACUUCAAGAGUUUUCCUCCCAUCUCUGGUGCAUCAAGUCUCAGCAGGUUUAGGAGCAUCCUCUCCCAUUGAGGCCAGCCAAGGUGGCUCCUACACAGGUGCCAGAGGGCCUCUGAUCAGCCCUCUGAUCAGACGUAUGUAUGAUGUAUGCUCUUUGGUUGGUGGCUCAGUCUCUAGGGUCCAGACCAUGACUAUCUAAUGACAUUAUAAUGAUCAGCAUUCAAAAGAACUUGAGUCCACAGAACUCAAGAAAUUUCACAGCUUUAUCUUCCCUUCCUGGGCUGUUUAUGAAAUAUCUAAACUCAAAUGCACAGGGACAAUUCACCUUAAAGCCCAGGCUCAGCAAGAAACCAGCAGUAGAGAAAUGCAAAGGAAAGAAGAGUUAAGAAAAGAAGGCCUUUCAUAACAUAUUGUUCCACAGGGGCUCUGAGCCCCACCAGGACAAAGUUUUCACAGUUGCUAGAGUUAACAAGACACGAAACCUACUAGGAAAAGACCUGACUUCUAUUUGCCAUGAUGGAAAACUCCCCACAGUAAUUCUGGAAUGUUUUAUGUUACUAUCUGCCUUAUGGACAAGAUCCUGCUUCUUAAAUGAACCCUAAUCUCUUCAAUUCCAUCAGCAUGAAGAGAAACAAUUGUGCAUCAAAUCAUUGGCUAUACAAUAAGGAUAUGCUGUCUCUCAACAAAGAAAAUGGAACCAAAACUGAGGGUAUAUUGGCAAUAUCACUAAACAUAGCAUCAUGUCAAACAAUAAAGAAGUUGGAUUGUGAAAAAGAUGUAAACAUAAAAACAAUCCAUCUGUGCAUAUGGUAGCAUGUAUCUUAAAGGAAUUACUUCAAAUUAUCAAAGGAAAUUUGCUGACAUCUAGACUAUAUGAAGAAUGACUUGGGGUACAUGACCAGGUCAAUGAAGAAGAGAAAGUAGCCACUGUGCAGAGUCCUUAUUUCAAAUACCUCCCACCAGGACCAAAUGUGUAUGGUCUUGUCUAUUGAUAAGACAGAAAACCUACUUGAAAAAGAGCUGACAACAAUUUGUGAUGAUCGAAAUCUGCCCACAGAAAUUCUGGAUAUGCUGUUCUUCAUCCAAGAAAAGGGGCCCCAAAUUCAGGAUAUAUCCAUAAUUUCACACAACAUAGCAUCAUGAAGAAGUUGGAUUGUGAAGAAGAUGUAAACAUAAAAAAAUAAUCCAUCUGUGUAUAUGGUAGCAUGUAUCUUAAAGGUAAGGAAAGUCCUUGCAUCAUACACCCUCAGGAUUCUUCUCAAUCUAUUUGAGUAGUUUCCUUCAUUAUGCAUUCCCUUGAGUGGUAGUAGAUAACAUAUAAGAGAAAUCUGAUAAAAAAGCAAAAACAAAAACAAAAAGCUGUCAUAAUGAGCAGUAAUGUAACUAAGUAUCUUUCAUUUGAUUCUUCCACAAGUAUAUGGAGAGUCACUUCAUACAUGCAUAUGAGUUUCACCUGAUAUGCAUGCCUCCUCAGAUGCAUUUGUCUAAGAGUGUUCUUAAGGGUGUCACUCUCCUUUUUUUCUGAGAGGCAGGUUUCUCUUCCUAGGUAUAGAGCACGUGACUCCUUCAUGUAUAUCUUUGCUGUACAUACCCAGUAGAAUCUCUUGGUCUGCUUGUCCCUCUCACUCACAAAAUAUUGGUAUCCAAAUGAAGGUUCACAUGGCUAUGUAACACGUAUUCUUAAGUACUGGGCCAUUCCUUCAGCACCAUAAUUUUAUUGUUAUAUUUAAAAAUUAAAAUCAUUUCACUCCUCCCUAUUCCUUGCUCUAAUGUUGUUUCCCUUCAAUCUCCCACUUCUGAUAAAAUACAUUUUCUUUAACUGUUAUUUUGUAGAUACAAAUAAAUCCAUAAAUAUGUUCAAAUAACCUGAUGAGUCCAUUAUCCUUGUUAGUAUCUGUACUAUUUCCAAAGGAACCAACUGUGAUUGGCUUACAAAUUAGGGGGUUCAUUUUUGAGAAAGACCAAUUUCCUCACUCUUCAUAGUAUUUAUUUGCAUGUAGUUCCUUAUCUAAAAGUUUGACUUCAUGAGAUUUCCUCAUUUUGAUUUAGUGUUACUAACUUGGAUAAUGUUUUGUUUAGAACUUGCUUAAACAACCAGACUGUGGGACUAACAAAAGUGAAGCUUCUCCUGCAUUUCUCUGAGGCCCAAUCCCAAAGCAGAUAUCCUGAUCCUCUGGAAUUACUUCAAAUCACUUAAGAAAGUCUGCUGACAUCUCGACUAUAUGAAGAAUGACUUGGAGUACCAGACCAAGUCAAUGAAGAAGAGAAAGUAGCCACUGUGCAGAGUCUUUUAGAAAACUACUGCACUCACAUGUUACUCUUCUAAGACAACGUUUCAAAUUAUUAUAUUAAGUUGAGAGGAAUUCUUCUGUGAACCAGAUGACAGCUUAUGAUUUAUCUGUUGUGCCAAGUAUCCUAUAUCUGCCUAGUUCCCACAAUAAACGAUUAGCAAAUGAUAUUGCCAAAAAGAUUUCUCUUAUAAACUUUCCAAUUGAAAACUCCCUGAAAUUAUUUGAAGAAGACUCAGUUUUAGUUUAUUAUGAGACCUCAUUAUUUCACCCUUAUGGAGUGGACUCUGAUUCCCAGAAUAAUCUUUCUAAUCCAGAAGGCAUGCGUGCUAUAAAAGGAAAAGGGCAUGCAAGAGCUAAGUGAAUUCAACUACAACAAACGAUGACAUACCUUCUUUCAUAGAAUCAGAGAAACCUGAAAAAUACAUUUUUUUAUAAAUCAAUUAAUUACUUGUGAAUCUGAUACCCGCAAAGUCAAUGUAUACAUAGCCCCACCAGCACCAAACAAAAAGCAACUUGUUGGGAAUUAUCAAAUUCUGCCAGCACCAAUAAAGAAAAAAACCCUUCUUAGCAAGUCUCUCAUGGAAAUCUUUCUUCUCCAAUACUGGAUAUAUUAGCUAUCAUUGCUGAAAAGGGACAAAAGUCAUAUAAAAUACUAAGAACACUAUCAGUUGAAUCACACUGGUACACGAGGGAUAAAAUUGAUGCUGAAUAAGAAGAGGUGAAUUGGAGUCAAGAAUCAGUCCUUGUUAUAGUAUCUGCUUUAUAGGGGGAUUUCAUUCUAAAUAUAUAAAGAAACUUGCUUUCUACAGAUUUAUGUAAUUUAUUUGGUGUCUCUGAUCAAGAAAUUUGAUCAAAAGAUUCUGCUAUCCAAAGAUAAUGAUACAGUAAAUUCUUCGGGAACCAUACAAAGAUAGAAGAAAUGCAUUUUUAAAGUUUUCUACCACAGAUGCCACAACAAAACUUCAUCCUACUAAAACACCUUAUUCAUGUGUUAUUAAAGAUUAAAAUUUCUCCCAUGAAGACUUAGACUCUUAACAGUUUAUCUGUUCACAUAACCCCUAUAUUCCAUGGCAUUCUACUUCCAGCAACUCGUUAUUUGGGAAUGACCUUUCCAAAAAGAUUUCUAUUGAAGAAAUUCUAACUGAAAACUAGCUCUAGAUAUUUGGAGAUGACGAUCAUACAUUUUAUAAAGAUAUUCCAAAAAGGUCUGAUGACAUAAAAAUGUCUUCAGGUUCACUAAAUACUGUUGAUAGAGCAUGUGCUAUGAAAGAUGCCAUAAGUGACCCCCCUGAGAAAACCUUCUUUAAUGCUAAUGCUGAAAAAUUAAAGAUUCCAUUUGCUGCCCCUCAGAAGGAAGGUCCUACAGAGAGCAGGGCACAACAAACAGCUUCUAUAUGUUCCGUGUUUAACAGUGGAAUCAAUGGCAGAGGAUGACUGAAGAUGCUUACAGCUCAUUCUACUUCAAAGUUCCUUUCCACCUCCCAUUCAACAAUAGAAGAAUAUAUCAUUACAAGACACUGCAGCUUUUAUAUUUUACAUUAUUGUUACAAAGAGUUGUCACUGAUCAUUUUGACUUUAUGCUAUAUAUUACACAUUCUUUAUUAUUAUAAUGAAUGUUAUUAAACUAUAAUAUUGAUUAAACUCC
This 5006-nucleotide small RNA is filed under the name Rattus norvegicus (Norway rat). Its description in RNAcentral is "uncharacterized LOC103690087". The record is from RNAcentral. Lineage: Eukaryota; Metazoa; Chordata; Mammalia; Rodentia; Muridae.